GCAGAGCACCCGUGAAUUCAAGAGAAGCCAGUAUAAGCUGUAGACAUUCAGCCCACUUCAAAAUCAGACUGUUAAUCUUUAUUAAGCUGCAUAAUGAUGAUGACUGCUGAAGGUAUUAGAGGAGAGACUCUAUACGAAAAGACCUAGCAAGUGUGAUAACGGCCUCUCUUGCACAUUUUUAGCAGCGCAUCCAAAACUUUGCCUUGCAGAGCCCCAGAGUUUCCAUCCAGAAUGGAUGUUUGAUCUCGACAGGGGAAGGGAAGAAAAGAGCACUAGCAGAGAUAGCAAGAUCCCUCAAAGGAAGUUAUUUCUGAUAUGUACGUAUUCUCUUCUGAUGUCCUGCAACACGUCUACAGUGCUUACCAGCUGAGCAGAAUAACAAAAGUUGAGGACAAGGUAAGAGGCCACAAAGGGUCUUGAUGCCCAGCAGCAGGAGGCUACAGUCGAUUCUUAGUGCUCGACAGAGAGAGAAAGAGAGAAAGAAAACUCUGCUCUGAAGCUUUGCUCUAUGGUGAUACAAAAAUAAUACUCUGCCGGGCAGGGGGAAAGAGGAGUGCAGCAGCCUCCCUCGCUAGGGCAGGUAUGGGAAGCAGAGGCAUGCAUCAGCUGCGCCGGGGCAACGCAAAGCAAGGAGUAAGCCGCCCCCUGGACGUCUGCUCUCCUGAGCAGGCUUCGUCCCUGAAUCAAAAAAACCUCAAAUGGGAAAGAACGUACUAAAUUAGGAGUGCAGAUAAGCUGUUCUCUAGUAGUGAGCUACACAACUGCAUAUGAGAGAGGCUUGCAGCGCUCCAUGCGCGGACGAUGCUAUUGUACAUUUCUCCUGUGGGAAGGAAAGGAUUUAACUGUAUCUAGAAUUGUGAUCCUAAAAUCACUGCUCAGCUAUUGCUUAACUCAGAGGCACCUGAAGUACCUUAAUGUUCCCUAAAGGUCUACUUCUGCUCUUGCCUCAUUCUCACAUUACUGAGCACUAUCUCAUGGCAAGAUUCGAGGGAGAUUCAGCAUCUCAGCGCUUGUCUGUCAAAGACACUAGUUCCAGGAGGAGCUCAGAGGAGCGUUCAUGCGUCUUACCCAAGGCAAUCACGAGCCUUAAAGAAAGAGAUCAGACCUUGCGAUUUCCGCCCUCAAAUAACAUGCUACUCAUAAGAGGCAACAAUAUCGAGGCAACAGACUGGGAAGGAGCAGAAUGCAGAGCAAAAGACCGAGGAACCACGUGAGAAGCACUUCAGCAGAGUGCGUUACACGUCGGAGGUAAGCAGGCAACCCUGCUAUUGCUGAUGGCUCUUUUUCACAUCUCAGCUUUGGCCAAGCAGCGUGCCCCAACAUGACUGUGUAGAAGAGCUUUUUGUGACCUGCCCGAAACAUAAGGGGCACCUCAGCGUACGGGUCUGCCAGCGCAGUGUGCUGCCACAGCUGCCACCAACCAGAACAUCUGUCAGCCACCUCAGCAGAUACCGAGCGCUCACGGGGCCCAAAGCCCAGACGAACUUUCCACCUUUAAGCUACUAGAUUCAAGCUGAGGAUACACUAAGUGGUGCAGUCAAAGGCUGGGAAUCCAUUCAGAAAGCGAUGAUUCAUGGGAGGAAUGGAAGUGAAAACGGUAGAUGUAGCUAAAGUAGUCUGGAGCUUUGGGUCGAUACUGUGGAGAAGUUAAAAGGCUGGGAGCGCUCAUGCUACAGGAUUUUGGCAUUUAGCUUUCGGAAUACUCAUUAGCAUCCUGCCCCACCCCUAAUUUUUCUUCUCUUGAGACAACAGGGUUAUAUUGAGAACCGACAAUAGCAAACUGGACAGUCCCACAGUGCUUCAAGUCCAUCAAGUGAUGCAUGCGGCUUUUCUGGCAAAGGUGACAGAUUAUGGAAGAGCAUACAAAAGAGACAGAGCAAAGGCUGGGCUUCUGAGGAGCAAGGUCUUGAAAAAGCUUGUUUUCUCACCCAGACAUUCAGGAUAGCUUAAUCCCCACCACAGCAAAGACACAGCAUUUCAAAGCACUGCACGCUUAAAUACUGAGUUUCUUGAAAAAUGUAGUCACUGGUUUCCCAGGAGCGCCACAUCGGCGUUCAACUCCAGCUGAGGUCUCAGGAAAAGGCAGGUGCUCAGAUGGCCGUUGCCGGCACUUCCAGGGCUCCAACAUGUACCGUAACACUUACGAGAGACCCAGGGAAACCUGUCACCAACACUUGCACGCACACUUACAGCUGCUGCCAGGAGACGCGCGCGACGCAAAGGAUGGCAGAUAACCGGUCUUGAAUCAGUAAGAGAAUUAAUUUAAAGCCAUAUGUUUGGUUCACGUAUUUUAUUCAUCUAUAAUUAGAAAUAAGGUGCUAUUUUAAUUCUACUACUCACUUCUUAAAGAGUCUGUCUCAGAAAAAGCGUUCGGCAGUUUCUGCUGUGAUAUUUUUCCCUUUGGAGGUCCGCACAAGGCUAAGUGCUUUCUAGAAAUGCUCUUUUUCCAAACCCAAAGUAGAUCCAGUCUACAUUAGUAAGCUCAAUGCUCAUAAUAGAAAAAAAUGAAAGCACACGAAUAAACUGCUGUAAAUUUCAGAGCA
Long non-coding RNA from Struthio camelus australis, 2543 nucleotides. The record is from Ensembl. Lineage: Eukaryota; Metazoa; Chordata; Aves; Struthioniformes; Struthionidae.